RNAcentral lists this unclassified non-coding RNA (22 nucleotides) under Mus musculus (house mouse). RNAcentral's name for it is "oocyte_clustered_small_RNA804". Lineage: Eukaryota; Metazoa; Chordata; Mammalia; Rodentia; Muridae. The record is from RNAcentral.
UGAGGAGGCAUAGGGAGGAGAC